RNAcentral lists this small RNA (23 nucleotides) under Arabidopsis thaliana (thale cress). RNAcentral describes it as "ATSL153540". The record is from RNAcentral. Lineage: Eukaryota; Viridiplantae; Streptophyta; Magnoliopsida; Brassicales; Brassicaceae.
GUUUCUUCUUCUUCUUAGUCUUC